This 460-nucleotide ribosomal RNA is filed under the name uncultured bacterium. Its description in RNAcentral is "partial 16S ribosomal RNA". It matches the Rfam family "Bacterial small subunit ribosomal RNA", at positions 338 to 795 of the family's 1533-position model. The record is from RNAcentral.
CCUACGGGAGGCAGCAGUGAGGAAUAUUGGUCAAUGGGCUUACGCCUGAACCAGCCAAGUCGCGUGAGGGAAGACUGCCCUAUGGGUUGUAAACCUCUUUUGUCAGGGAGCAAUUGGCGCUACGUGUAGCGUUAUCGAGAGUACCUGCAGAAAAAGCAUCGGCUAACUCCUUGCCAGCAGCCGCGGUAAUACGGAGGAUGCGAGCGUUCUCCGGAUUUAUUGGGUUUAAGGGGUGCGUAGGCGGAAUGCCAAGUCAGCGGUAAAAUCGCGGGGCUCAACCUCGCUCCGCCGUUGAAACUGGCGUGCUUGAGUGGGCGAGAAGUAUGCGGAAUGCGUGGUGUAGCGGUGAAAUGCAUAAAUAUCACGCAGAACUCCGAUUGCGAAGGCAGCAUACCGGCGCCCAACUGACGCUGAAGCACGAAAGCGUGGGUAUCGAACAGGAUUAGAUACCCGGGUAGUC